UGAGGAUUUGACAGGACUUGAUGGU
RNAcentral lists this non-coding RNA (25 nucleotides) under Mus musculus (house mouse). The record is from RNAcentral. Lineage: Eukaryota; Metazoa; Chordata; Mammalia; Rodentia; Muridae.